Molecule: long non-coding RNA, 1965 nt
Organism: Macaca mulatta (Rhesus monkey)
Lineage: Eukaryota; Metazoa; Chordata; Mammalia; Primates; Cercopithecidae
Source: Ensembl
GGUGCACGGUGGGAACCGAGCCUCCCCAGGGUGCCAUGAAAUCCCUGAGGGCCGGGACCCAGUUUCUCCUCCUUUUUCUCUCUUUGCUCCACCUUCCUGGGUCUGCCUACUCUUUUCCACCUCCAGCCGUAUGCUCAUGCCGUUCCCUCUUCCUGAAAUAAUCUUUCUCGUUAUUUCUCCUAAAGCUCUAAUAUAGUUCUUGGAGGCUUCAGGCCCCAGCUGGGAUGCCUCACAAAGCGAAUCUGGGGUAGAUUUUCAAUAAACUCCUCACUUAUCUCCUGCUGCAGCCAAGCCCCCAGGACCCCAUCUCCUUGGAGGAGCCAAGUGGGGUGGCUGCAGCCUCUGCAAGCAAGCUGACUCCUUUGGGGCAUAAUUCACCCUUUCUCAUAGCCUCUGUCCCCCGAGGCCAAGCCUACAGGGUCCAUCUCUGCAGAUUUUCUGCCCACGAGUUCCCUGGAGCACAGAGAACACUCCCAAGAGAGAGAGUCCUUGUCACACCACUCAUGAUCUCCCAGGCUGCUUCUCUCCAGUGCUUAGCACAUGGAGAUGCAUUCAUUUUUUUGUGAGCACAUUUAUUGACUGCGUGGCUCCCAUGCCAGCCUGGACACUCUGUGAGGCCAGGCUCUGCCUCUGGUUUCCCCACUCAGUCCCCAGCACCCAGCCUAGUCCUGGUGCAUAGGAGACGCUUGCCACACAGCUGCUGUGUGGGUGGAUGGACGGAUGCAUGAAGAAUCCGUGGUGUGGAGCACAUGGGGAAGUGGCCUUUGUUCUUCCAUAUAGAACAGCAGAGGCGGGAAGACCAAGGAUCAGAAAUUCCAGAGGUGGGGAGGACGGUGGAAGUGGAUGCACCUGGGGGACCGUCUCAGAGGGGCUGGCCCACUCCUACUGCGCCAGAUCUGGAGGUGUGCUCCUGUCUGAACUCCAUCCUGCCUGCUGCCCAGCGACUCCCUGGCUUCCUCCCUGUCACAUGGGACUCCCGCACCCGGUGCUGUCCAGGGACCCCCCACACUCCACACCCUCCGGACCUCGCAGGACAUUUCCAGGUCUGGCCACAAGGUGGAGCGUGGCAGCUGCAGGACAGUGCUGGGGGCCGGGCUGCGGAGGAGCCUGGACCUGCGCCCGGUGACCUCCCCGCUCUGUGAACGUGUGGGAGUUUGUGUCUGUGCAUCCAGAGAACCAGAGGGCUGUGGUUGACUUGCCGUGCUCCCCCCAACCCCCCACUGGGAUUGCCUGGGUCUCUGGGGGAUCACUGAGAAGCUGGAUAAAGAGGGCUGGCACUGUUGCCUCGGCUCACUAAUGCCUCAUGGUUUUACAGGUGAGGAGACUGAGGCCCAGAGAAGGAAGUCACGUGCUGAGGUCACUGACUAAUCAGUGGCUGAUCUGGUCGAACCCAGAUCUCUUGAGCUGUAAGGUCUCUGCUUUUCCUGUGGCAUGGAGAGGGGCUUCUCCCACCUAGGGAGGGGAGAUCCUGUUGUACUGGGGAGGCAGGGGAUUAAAGAUGGACUGAGAGGUUAGGGUCCCAGAAACCAAGGGGCAAUCCCUGUCCCAGAGAACCGGCCUCAAGGGUGGGGAUGGGGUAGGGGCAGCGGAUAAGGGGUCUGCCCAGGGCUUCUUGGGUUCCCUUCUAGGGUUCCUGGGCACCCAGGGCUGCGGCACUUGCCCCGGGCUAGAGGGUCAACCAGGCCCUGCAUGGUGCCCACCGCUCCCUCCCGUGCACUGCAGGGGACCCUUGUCCAUCCCUUUAGCUCGUCUGGACCCCCCUCAAUGGCUCCUGCUGUCUUUCCAGGCUGUGUCCUCCCAUGUCAGAGACACAUCCCAGAGCCCAGGGCCUGCGUGGGCUGUAUCCACGGUUACUGAAUAGGGACAAACAGGCAUGCAUUGGCAGGGGCCGGUGGCUCAUUUCAGGAAAGUCCCUUCAGCAAGAGGAUUGUCUCCCCACUGGGGCUGAGGGCAGUGGCAGAAAGU